CGCGCGGAGCUGGGGCUUCCCGCGCGCUUUCCCGCCGCCUGUGGGCAGUGAAGCCUGCGAGCACCUUGCGCGCGUUCGCGGCGUCCCGGGGACCUGCGCCCCGCGCCUUAGGAUGCGCGUGGACCCGGGCCGGCGGGUGCCGGGAACAGGGGGACAGAGGAGGACCGCGGGCAUCUUGGGGUGACAGGCUUGACACAUUUUUUACAUUGAUAAAAAGAGAAGACGACUAAACGCAGAGAGGGGGAAAGCUCAGCAGAAGCGACACUACUUAGAAGUGUUCCCAAGUGGAAGGCAGCCGGCCUGUUUCCUACAGGAAGGCUGCUACAGUGUUUACGUCACAGACAAAAUCCUGGAGCACUCGACUGAUUUCACUGAAAGUAUAAAAAAAUAUGACUUUUCUCUGGAGUCUAACAGAUUCGAAUGAGCCACAGCAGAAAAGAGCUCCUGGAGUGAUAAAAUGGGAGAAAAUCUUGUUGUUUUAACACUUUAAAAAAUUGAUCUCAGUUGCACAAAAAUGCUUAAGUUUCUUUGCAAAAAAUUUCUGUGAUCAAUACAAAUUCCUUUCAAUGCAGACCAAAGUAGGAGACCAGUAGCCCAAAUUAAUUAACCUUUCCUCGAGAUCAAUUGGUUUUCUGUUGAUUUAGCAGUAAUAUUGCGGAACAUUUAGCUAUAAUGUAUUUUAAUGUGAUACCUCAAUAUGUCAAGAGGAAAGCCUCAUUGAAAAGAUAAAAUUACUUAAAUUA
Long non-coding RNA from Canis lupus familiaris (dog), 743 nucleotides. RefSeq lists it as uncharacterized. Lineage: Eukaryota; Metazoa; Chordata; Mammalia; Carnivora; Canidae. The transcript has 3 exons. The record is from RefSeq and is a predicted model, not a curated record.